AACGAACGCUGGCGGCAGGCUUAACACAUGCAAGUCGAACGGUUGUAGCAAUACAGCAGUGGCAGACGGGUGAGUAACACGUGGGAACCUUCCUAGGGGUACGGAACAACUCAGGGAAACUUGAGCUAAUACCGUAUACGUCCGUGAGGAGAAAGAUUUAUCGCCCUUAGACGGGCCCGCGUCGGAUUAGCUAGUUGGUGGGGUAACGGCCUACCAAGGCGACGAUCCGUAGCUGAUCUUAGAGGAUGAUCAGCCACACUGGGACUGAGACACGGCCCAGACUCCUACGGGAGGCAGCAGUGGGGAAUCUUGGACAAUGGGCGCAAGCCUGAUCCAGCCAUGCCGCGUGAGUGAAGAAGGUCUUCGGAUUGUAAAGCUCUUUUGCCAGGGAGGAUGAUGACGGUACCUGGAGAAUAAGCCCCGGCAAACUUCGUGCCAGCAGCCGCCGUAA
RNAcentral lists this ribosomal RNA (451 nucleotides) under uncultured bacterium. RNAcentral's name for it is "partial 16S ribosomal RNA". It matches the Rfam family "Bacterial small subunit ribosomal RNA", at positions 29 to 523 of the family's 1533-position model. The record is from RNAcentral.